Molecule: unclassified non-coding RNA, 345 nt
Filed under: soil metagenome
Description: partial contains 5.8S ribosomal RNA, internal transcribed spacer 2, and large subunit ribosomal RNA
Rfam family: 5.8S ribosomal RNA (bases 1-119)
Source: RNAcentral
GAUGAAGAACGUAGCGAAAUGCGAUACGUAAUGUGAAUUGCAAAUUCAGUGAAUCAUCGAGUCUUUGAACGCACAUUGCGCCCCCUGGUAUUCCGGGGGGCAUGCCUGUCCGAGCGUCAUUGCUGCCCUCAAGCACGGCUUGUGUGUUGGGCCCCGUCCUCCGAUCCCGGGGGACGGGCCCGAAAGGCAGCGGCGGCACCGCGUCCGGUCCUCGAGCGUAUGGGGCUUUGUCACCCGCUCUGUAGGCCCGGCCGGCGCUUGCCGAUCAACCCAAAUUUUUAUCCAGGUUGACCUCGGAUCAGGAAGGGAUACCCGCUGAACUUAAGCAUAUCAAUAAGCGGAGGA